Molecule: unclassified non-coding RNA, 229 nt
Filed under: uncultured fungus
Lineage: Eukaryota; Fungi
Description: sequence contains ITS1, 5.8S rRNA gene
Rfam family: 5.8S ribosomal RNA (bases 181-229)
Source: RNAcentral
UCUCCGUAGGUGAACCUGCGGAGGGAUCAUUACCGAGUGAGGGCUCACGCCCGACCUCCCACCCUUUGUGAACCCAUCUUGUUGCUUCGGGGGCGACCCUGCCAGCACUCUGUCGCCGGGCGCCCCCGAAGGUCUCCCAACACUGCAUCUUUGCGUCGGAGUUCAAAACAAAUUAAACAAAACUUUCAGCAACGGAUCUCUUGGUUCUGGCAUCGAUGAAGAACGCAGC